Molecule: ribosomal RNA, 205 nt
Filed under: uncultured bacterium
Lineage: Bacteria
Description: partial 16S ribosomal RNA
Rfam family: Bacterial small subunit ribosomal RNA
Source: RNAcentral
CGUGCAGGCGGUUCGGUAAGUUGGGCGUGAAAUCUCCUGCUCGACUAGGAGAGGUCGUUCAAUACUACCGGGCUAGAGAGUGGUAGAGGAAGAUGGAAUUCCCGGUGUAGUGGUGAAAUGCGUAGAUAUCGGGAGGAACACCAGUGGCGAAGGCGAUCUUCUGGACCAUUUCUGACGCUCAGACGCGACAGCUAGGUAGCAAACG